AUGCAGCCACGUACGCCGCGCGUCCAGAUCGGGAGCCGCCAACGUGCGGCAAUGGCAGGCCUCGCCGCGGCUUUCACCGCGGCGACCCUCGCGGCUAUGGCCCACGCCACCACCACCGGCUCCCCGCCGUUGUCGCCGUCGUCGCAGCCGUGGUCGUCGUCCUACUACGCGGCCGUGGAGAACCGGCUGUCGGCGGGGGGCGGCAUGUUGCUCGUGUGCCGCGCGCUGGGCGGCAACAUCUUUACCCAGUGGAGCGUCGUGCCGCGUGGCCGCGUGCCCCGCGACGGCCGGCGCGUCUUGGAGCUCCUGGUGGACGCCAAGACGUACGGGUGGGUCACCUGCAGCUGGGCCUACCAGGGCAACUACGUCGGUGCCAUGCCGCUCUUCGACUCGCGGUGGCCGGAGGCCAAGCGGUGCCAGGACGUCGCCGGCGGCGGCCUGUGCCGCGUCGUGUUCGAGAGCGACAUGGUGCGCCUCGAGACGCCCGGCGGGGGACAGCGGGUUCUCGGCGACCUGCCGGUGAAACGUUGCCGGCGGCACUGGCUUCUGUUCAGCACGGAGUGCACGUACCCGGACCAUCCCCACCCCUACGCCGGCCGCCGCCUCAGCAACGCCUUCGAAUACUUUGGCGUGUGA
Molecule: ribosomal RNA, 636 nt
Filed under: Triticum aestivum (bread wheat)
Lineage: Eukaryota; Viridiplantae; Streptophyta; Magnoliopsida; Poales; Poaceae
Description: partial small subunit ribosomal RNA
Source: RNAcentral